Long non-coding RNA from Hyalella azteca, 379 nucleotides. RefSeq lists it as uncharacterized. The transcript has 3 exons. The record is from RefSeq and is a predicted model, not a curated record. Lineage: Eukaryota; Metazoa; Arthropoda; Malacostraca; Amphipoda; Hyalellidae.
GUUUAAAUGCUCCGCGUGACAGGCGUGAUGGCAGUUCGCAUCACGGCAAAGGUUCAAAAAAAAGGCUGCCGAUGACUCGAUAUUCAUCAAGGAACAUGAAAUUCAACAUUCAUCAUCGAAGUCGUCGCAACGCUCCUGUACCAGUCUGGGACAGAGUGCCACGGGAGGCAUCUGGACUCUGGCAGCACCGUUGCUGUUCACCUCUCAUACAGCGUGUAAAAAGCCGAUUAUACGCAAUUAGCCAGCGAAGUCGUCAGAAGCGCAGUGGAGGGAAGGUGACGGUGGUGGAGGGAAUGGAGGGUAUGUUGGUGUGUCCCCUCGGGGGCUACCCUCCCCCUUCCAUUUCAUGGGCAAGGGAUAACAUCAGGCUGUCGCAUGG